GUGGGGAAUCUUGCGCAAUGGGCGAAAGCCUGACGCAGCCAUGCCGCGUGGAUGAUGAAGGUCUUAGGAUUGUAAAAUCCUUUCACCGGUGAAGAUAAUGACUGUAGCCGGAGAAGAAGCUCCGGCUAACUUCGUGCCAGCAGCCGCGGUAAUACGAAGGGGGCUAGCGUUGCUCGGAAUUACUGGGCGUAAAGGGCGCGUAGGCGGACAGCUUAGUCAGAGGUGAAAGCCCAGGGCUCAACCUUGGAAUUGCCUUUGAUACUGGCUGUCUUGAGUUUGGGAGAGGUGAGUGGAACUCCGAGUGUAGAGGUGAAAUUCGUAGAUAUUCGGAAGAACACCAGUGGCGAAGGCGACUCACUGGCCCAAUACUGACGCUGAGGCGCGAAAGCGUGGGGAGCAAACAGGAUUAGAAACCCUUGUAGUCC
Molecule: ribosomal RNA, 425 nt
Filed under: uncultured bacterium
Lineage: Bacteria
Description: partial 16S ribosomal RNA
Rfam family: Bacterial small subunit ribosomal RNA
Source: RNAcentral